UAUAUACCAAUAGAGUAAUAUGGUUGGAUGCAGGAUUUGGAGAAGCUUUCCAGAAAAAAAGGCUGCUAAUAACCUACACAAUUUCUUUUAACUACACUGCAAUUAAAAUUGUUGCUGCUCAACUUGAGAGCUACAACCCCGAAGCACAUGAAGAGUUAAUGGAAUUUUUGAGUAGACACUCGUUGAAAGAUGGGGACAAAUUCUGUGCCACUAUGAUGAGAGAAUCAUCAAGACAUAAGAACUUAGUUAAUCACGUUUACCGAGCUACUUGAAUUAUUAUAGGUGCGAUCAGCAUACUGCAAAAAUGAUUUUGAAUGGAACAACUUGAAGCGCCUAGCUUUUAAGAAACCACUCCCGUUGAAACUGAGAAGUGAAUAGUCCCAACAACGAUGUGCAAGCUUCAUUGUUUCUUGUCACUCUGUUGCUGCAUAUAAGAGCAAAAGGGUUAAGAUAUAUAAUAGCACUAAAUGCAUUUGUUUCUGCUUUCCUUACCAGAAAAGCACAAGAUAUUUGUGUGAAAAAUGUAUAUCUCACAUCAAACUUGAAUGGAGGACUAAAUCUUCAAA
This is a non-coding RNA of Arachis ipaensis, 566 nucleotides long. NCBI's taxonomy places the organism in Eukaryota, Viridiplantae, Streptophyta, Magnoliopsida, Fabales, Fabaceae. The record is from RefSeq and is a predicted model, not a curated record.